Molecule: ribosomal RNA, 492 nt
Filed under: uncultured bacterium
Lineage: Bacteria
Description: partial 16S ribosomal RNA
Rfam family: Bacterial small subunit ribosomal RNA
Source: RNAcentral
AGUGAACGCUGGCGGUAGGCCUAACACAUGCAAGUCGAACGGCAGCACAGUAAGAGCUUGCUCUUACGGGUGGCGAGUGGCGGACGGGUGAGGAAUACAUCGGAAUCUACUUUUUCGUGGGGGAUAACGUAGGGAAACUUCCGCUAAUACCGCAUACGACCUACGGGUGAAAGCAGGGGAUCUUCGCACCUUGCGCGAUUGAAUGAGCCGAUGUCGGAUUAGCUAGUUGGCGGGGUAAAGGCCCACCAAGGCGACGAUCCGUAGCUGGUCUGAGAGGAUGAUCAGCCACACUGGAACUGAGACACGGUCCAGACUCCUACGGGAGGCAGCAGUGGGGAAUAUUGGACAAUGGGCGCAAGCCUGAUCCAGCCAUACCGCGUGGGUGAAGAAGGCCUUCGGGUUGUAAAGCCCUGUUGUUGGGAAAGAAAAGCAGCAGGUGAAUACCCCGCUGUUCUGACGGUACCCAAAGAAUAAGCACCGGCUAACUUCGUG